ACACUGACAGUCUGAUCAGCUGGUUCAGUUAACAGCACGUUUGGCCGGUGCUACUUGGUACUUGGUAUUUGGUACUCUUCAGUUGCCAGUUGAUACUUGUCGUUUUCAGUUAUCCGAUCCUAAAGAUUUUUAUACCUCGCAUCACUGGCAAUGAUAGCACAUUUCGAAUUUAGAGUAUUUUAAUUAUUUAUUUUUUGAUUUACCGUUUGUAUUCAACUUUUAAUAAUAGAUGCUAUUGGGUUGUGAGUGGAAGAAAUUGCUUAGGUACGUUGUCUUGAUAACAGUUUUCAUUAUAUACACUUUUGCUAUAUAUUUCCCGGAUUAUAAACGCCCUCCAGUCAAACAAGUUGCAGGUUGGGAGUUGAAUGUUACCCGCGAUGUUAGAGUUUAUGUAGUUCCCGAGAACAUAACAUCAAUUAUAAGCGGGAAAAAUUUAUGUGAAGAUCAGAAAGUAAAUGUAAUAAUCAUAGUCUGCUCAGCGCCAGAAAAUGUUGAUCGAAGGCUCGCUAUACGCCAGACCUGGGGCUUGCACAAUUUCUCAAACGUGAGAGUGGGCUUCCUGCUUGGUUGGACGUACAACAUAUCAUUGCAGAUACAAAUCGAGCAAGAGAGCAGCGAAUAUCACGAUGUUAUUCAGGAGAAUUUCAUCGAUUCGUACAACAACCUCACGAUCAAAAGUGUCAUGAUGCUCAAAUGGUACAUACAUUAUUGUCCGUCCUCUACAUAUCUCAUGAAGACAGACGACGACGUGUUUGUCAACGUUACCAAUCUGUCCAGGCUUCUAGAAAACCUCAACUACACGGUUGUCCUCCUCGGCUCCCUUAUUUGCCAUGCAAAACCUAUUUUAGAUGUUAAUAAUAAAUGGUAUAGCCCAAAAUAUUUGUACAGAAAAGCUUUUUAUCCUAAUUAUCUUUCUGGGACGGGAUAUGUAAUGUCUAGGCAGGUGGCUGUGAAACUUUUCAAUGCUGCAUUAACAACUCCUCUUAUUCACCUCGAAGACGUUUACAUAACAGGUAUUUGUGCAUUGAAGGCUGGCGUAAAACCGAAGAAUAACAUGGCAUUCACGUAUUUGCACUUGAGUGAUAACUGCCUUUUGAACAUGAUCACGAAUCACAGGAUGACCCCACAGGAGCUGUACAUCUUAUGGAAAAACAGGAACAAUUGCGUCGAAAAGCCGAGACUGACCGCGACACAUCGUACUAAAUUGAAGAAGAUACAGAGCGAUUGUCAUUAGUUUAAAUUUUUAAUUUUCACCUAGUUCUUACUCUUCGAGAGUAGAGAAGUGAAAAGGCUGUUGAAGUUCAUUGCAGGAAACCCGGAGCUUACUCUCAGUUAUCCGGCGGGUUUCUCGACCAAGCCAGGCAGCCACCCCUUGGCAGGCACGAUCCUGAAAAAAGUAUAGCCAGACGCGUGUGAGCUUUUAUGAGGCAGUUUUAACAUGGGGAGAGAAUCAAACAUUGCCACCAUGUCGAUAAGGGUCCUAUCGAGCCAAGUAACUGUGUUCGGAUAAAGGAAACCGCCUUCGUAGAAGCC
Molecule: RNA transcript, 1533 nt
Organism: Cimex lectularius (bed bug)
Lineage: Eukaryota; Metazoa; Arthropoda; Insecta; Hemiptera; Cimicidae
Gene name: beta-1,3-galactosyltransferase 1-like
Exons: 7
Source: RefSeq, a predicted model, not a curated record